GUCUUUUUUUCAGUUUCUCGAUAACCAGUGUGGGGCAUCAGAGUCACAGUUGGUGACUGAUUGAUGAAUUUAACUUCGGUGUUAACCCCCAGUUUUGGGAGCAUCUGCUCUCCCUUUUUCAGCCUGCCCUGAUCUUGGCAUUUUCAGUGUGGAUUGCCCCAGGCACACUCGGUCACACUAAGCACUGAAGUUAAAUUAAUAGUGUUUUUUAUGACACAGUGAUAUGAAAUCAACUGAACUCCUUUGUUUUCUUUCAUCUGAACAGGGUUUCCAGUUUCCAAACCUCAUAUAAUCUCCCAGCUGGAACAAGGGGAACAGCCAUGGGUCCCAGACCUCCAGGGUUCAGAGGAAAGAGAGAUCCUGAGAAUUCCCUGCACAGGAGACGCCUUCCACCAACAUGCAUGGCAGAAGAACCAGAGAGAGAUGAACUCUCAGAAGUGUUGGGACAAACCACAACUUGAGCCAAGAUUCAGGUGUUGGCAAUGGGGAUUAAAAGAAAACUAACGUAUAUGACCAGAAUUUGUGAUUUUUGAAUAUAUUAGUGUUACUAGUGAAAAUGAAAUUAUAGGUAAUGUUAUUGGUUAAAGAGUAAGAGACUAAUUGUUUGAUAAUCUGAAUUAUUUUGGAAAACUGAAAGUUGUCUUGUUUUUUCUUUUUUUAGUUGUACAGGAAAUGAUGUCCAAUCUUCAAAAGUUAAUUUGAUUUAAUUUGCCUCCUGUAGUGUAAGGAGCUCUGGUAGAAAACCUCACUCCAAAGGUUGGGGUGGGAGAAUAGGUGUUAGAAAGAGUGUAUAAGAGAAUAUUGGGUCUAUAUAGAUUUUAUUUUUUUGUAUUUCAAAUAGAGCAUAUUUUGCUUAGCUUCAAAGUCAAUUUCUAUUAAAAGGAAAACUACUCGAGGAGACAAGUUGUAUAAGUUUUUACCCACUUAAACUGUAAGCAUCACUGUGGUGCUUCAAGGAAGGCAGGGCCCUGGCUCCUGGGGACUAGCAAUCACUGCACUAGAUUGAAGUCUGAGGUGACAAUCUACUUAGGUAGGAAAGGUAACUGUUAAAAAGUGUAGGUUGCGUUUUGUGAUUUUAUUUUGUUGGUAACAGUUGAUUUCCAUCAUUCACAUCUGUUUGUUUAAAUCUCUGUCCGUUGUUAAAGAAAUUUCCCUUUGUUC
This 1161-nucleotide long non-coding RNA is filed under the name Gopherus evgoodei (Goodes thornscrub tortoise). Its description in RNAcentral is "lncRNA (ENSGEVG00005018859.1)". The record is from RNAcentral. Lineage: Eukaryota; Metazoa; Chordata; Testudines; Testudinidae.